GCAUGUUACAUUCAACUCUACCAUCAGAGUUACCUUUCCUGAAUGGCCUGGACGAUCAUCUUAAGAGCUAUCAAGAUGCAUAAACUAGCUCUGGUAAUUACAGUGUGUAUGUUACUAGUACAAAGUUCCACUGCUCAAUCAACCACAACG
This is a long non-coding RNA of Myxocyprinus asiaticus (Chinese sucker), 150 nucleotides long. RefSeq lists it as uncharacterized. The transcript has 3 exons. The record is from RefSeq and is a predicted model, not a curated record. Lineage: Eukaryota; Metazoa; Chordata; Actinopteri; Cypriniformes; Catostomidae.